ACAUGGAGCCAUAUCACCCUGUAGCCCAAGACUGGUUGCCCUCUGAAGCUAAGCAGGGUUGAGCCUGGUUCCAUCAU
RNAcentral lists this ribosomal RNA (77 nucleotides) under Sinocyclocheilus rhinocerous. The record is from RNAcentral. Lineage: Eukaryota; Metazoa; Chordata; Actinopteri; Cypriniformes; Cyprinidae.